Molecule: long non-coding RNA, 397 nt
Filed under: Gallus gallus (chicken)
Lineage: Eukaryota; Metazoa; Chordata; Aves; Galliformes; Phasianidae
Description: lncRNA (ENSGALG00010013968.1)
Source: RNAcentral
GGAGGUUCAGGUUGGAUAUUCGGAGCAAUGUAUUCUCAGCAAGAGUGGAAAGAUACCAGACAUGAGGACUUCUUAUGCAGUCAGGCAUGCAAACUAUGCACAGUCAAUAAGAGAUCAGCCAGAGGCCUGCAAUACCUAUGAGACCUUGCUACAUGAGCACAGCAGAGAUACUGCCAAGCAGACUUUUGAAGCAUAACCGUAGCCCAUAAUUGGAUACAUCUAGAAGAUCCUGAUCAUUGGCCCAAACUCAGGCAUUGGGAAAUUUCAACCAGAGUACUUCCUGGAUACGCCAGGGACAAGUUUUUGCUGGAGUAUCUAUUCUACACUGCACAGUACAUGGCAAGCACUUAGGAUGAAUGGCCUUUUGAAUCUACUGCAUGUGCAAGCUGGGUUAGAG